RNAcentral lists this transfer RNA (63 nucleotides) under Pectinaria gouldii. RNAcentral describes it as "tRNA-Phe". Lineage: Eukaryota; Metazoa; Annelida; Polychaeta; Terebellida; Pectinariidae. The record is from RNAcentral.
GCCUGGUAGCUUAAAUAAAGCGUAGCUCUGAAGAAGCUAAGAUGGUAUUUAUACCCCAAAGCA